CACUGUGGAAAAUAACUACUAUGCUAGCUGUUACUUAUUCACUUCUUAGAGUGUAUUCUAAUGAUGCAUAUUCAUACUGGAAUAUCAGCAAGUAUCACUUGCUGAAGUGGAGCAUGCAUGAGGUAAAUGGAAAAAUAAUGGUUAAUAUUAAUUUUUUUUUAUUGCUUCCACUUACAGUGAAAAAUUAUGUCUGCACCUUGGAUUUCAAGCCACUGUUUGCUGGAAUAUUCAGAAAGCAGCAGCCUGAGCCUGACUUUCCAGAGAACAAGCAUUUCAAAGGCAAUAAGAAAGUUCUGCUGGGAGAUAACAGCAUGGCAGAACCACAGUUGGAGCCUUUUCGAGUUCCUUUGGAGAGGCAGCAUUCCAGCUAUGAAAAAUACAUGACAUAAUGCUGGAGCCUGAUCCUUACAGAGGACAAAAUAUGGAGGAUCAAUACGUAAAGACUAAAGGGCAACCACGCUGUGUAUCUCCACUCCUUGCAUCACUCUUUGGAUUCCACAUCAGAUUUCAGAAGAAUUUUAAUUCUCCAAGGCUGGAUCCCCCAUCAUGAAGCUCAGGCAGUACAUAUCACUGCAAGCUGGCAGUUGCUCCUUGAAAGAGAACUUCUUGAUUCAAAAGACUUUCUAUCUUUCUUUCUAUCUCACAUCUUUGCAUCGGUUUGACUGAAAAUACAUGGGAAAUCUGUUGUGCUGGAGAUUUAUGUGGCUUCUCUGUGUCUUGCCCUUUGUGUGGAUAAGCUUACUGACAUCAGAACUGCUAUAUUUAACCUCCUGAGUUAAUCAGUAGACCACCCGGACUUAACAAACAUUCUAUCAUUGAAAAAGGACAUAUUUGAAUACAACUUCAUGCCAUUGUCUCUAUUUCUGGACUAUUAUUAUCAGCUUUUCAUUCUUUUCACCUUUCCUUUCUGCCUGCCAGAAUUUGCACAGAAAAGUUGGGAAAAA
Molecule: non-coding RNA, 944 nt
Organism: Meleagris gallopavo (turkey)
Lineage: Eukaryota; Metazoa; Chordata; Aves; Galliformes; Phasianidae
Source: RefSeq, a predicted model, not a curated record